CUGGUGCCACGCCCCAUCUCCAACGGCACCUGGCCAAGCUUCCCUCAUCUCCCUCAAGCUCGCCAUGGAGCUUCGUUUCCCCAUGUCGUGCCCCAGCUCCUGCUUCUUCCCCUGCUCGGCGUCCGGUCCCGGCUCGCCCGAGCUCCCUGCGCGUCUAGCUCGCCAACUUGUUCCUCCCUGCGCGCUAGCCGCUGUGCGCCCGGAUCAUGCUUCUCCCUGCUAGCCGCGUUUUUCUCUCCCUUCCUUUCUUCUUUGCCGUGCUCGCCAUGGCCCCCUGUUGUAGCUCGCCCCAACACCAAGCUUGCCCCUGCGCGUGCUCCAAUUUUGUUCUUAGCCCCGCGCAUCCUCCCAUGGCGCUUGGCUUCUCCAGCCAUCGAUGCUCGCCUUCCUGUGCCGCGUCGUUCUCUGGAGGGUCCGAAUCCAUCUCUAGUCCGAGCGCUCCUCCCUACUUCUCUGCUGCGCGCUCUCAUCUUCUUCCCCAGCACCACCGCUCAGCUCGCCCCCAUGUUCGAAGGCAGCAGUCCCUGCUCGGAUUUCGCCAUGGUCGCGCCCAACUCCCUGCACGCCGCGGGCUCGCUUCACCCGGCCGCGUCGAGCUCUCUGCUCCAGCUCACUGAGUUUUCCCUCUGUUCGGUGUUUCGCCUAGCCGCCAUGCGCCGUGAAGCUCCCUGGCUGCGCGCACGCGUGCUUCACUGUUUGGUUGUCGUCGCGCCCAGCCUGGAUUCCAGCGUCCCUCCGUGCUCUGAUUUUCUAUCUUCGCGUCGAUGUGCAAGCGCCUUCGUGUUCGCAUCCCUUGGGCCUGUUUCGCCUUCGCGCGACACCGGCUGCGAGUUGAAGUUAAUUUCGCCGAGUUACUCGGAUGAAGUCCGAUCGGUGUUGAGAAUUCGUCAUGUGGUGGUGUGCGUGAAACUCAUAUAG
Molecule: unclassified non-coding RNA, 918 nt
Filed under: Zea mays
Lineage: Eukaryota; Viridiplantae; Streptophyta; Magnoliopsida; Poales; Poaceae
Description: misc RNA Zm00001eb203000
Source: RNAcentral